GUCAUUUCAAACGCCACUGUUGCAGAGUUUAAGCGUCUUCUUGGUGUUAAGCCAACACCGAAGAAGCAUGAUCCGUCUUGAAGCAUUUCUUAGGUGUUCCUGUUGUUGCUUAUCUGUCUUCUUGAAAAUGAAGCUUGAUCAUUCUUAGAUAUGAGAUGGAGUUUGGGAAACCUGCAUUUAUACAAGUCACUGAUGCUGAGAUGGGAUUCAAGAAGAUUUGUUAAGAUUGCUCACUCUCGUAGGGGUUAACCUUUGUUUUCCUAGCAUUUGAUGUGUUCUUUGAAAUCUUUUGUGUUGUGCUGGCAUGUCUUAUCGGAAUCGCACUCUGUUUCUGCCUCCUCUGCAUUAUUGCUCUUCUUUACGCAGUUGUUGGGCAGGUCUAUGGUUGGGGAAGAGGAGAACAUGCAAGGCUCGGGUUAGGUGACAAUGGCAGAGGUGACAGUAGCCAACCAUGUAGGCCGAUUUGACUGGAGGGUAGAGGCUGGUCCAAAUGGGGAUGAAUCUGAUCUUUCUGAAGCCAUUGGUAUCGAUGUUUGCCGCAAGUUUCCUCUCAUUGCGUUUCCAUCUUCUGUUAUGCAAAAUGCUUUCUCUUUCACCUCGUUUUGUAACACUAAUAAGAAGAGUUGUAAGA
This is a long non-coding RNA of Camelina sativa (false flax), 631 nucleotides long. RefSeq lists it as uncharacterized. Lineage: Eukaryota; Viridiplantae; Streptophyta; Magnoliopsida; Brassicales; Brassicaceae. The record is from RefSeq and is a predicted model, not a curated record.